UUCGACCUCAAAUCAGGU
Molecule: ribosomal RNA, 18 nt
Filed under: Tomentellopsis sp. TAA-181552
Lineage: Eukaryota; Fungi; Basidiomycota; Agaricomycetes; Thelephorales; Thelephoraceae
Also listed under: 1 other name
Description: partial 28S ribosomal RNA
Source: RNAcentral